This is a small nuclear RNA of Pongo abelii (Sumatran orangutan), 198 nucleotides long. Its record names the gene U2. It matches the Rfam family "U2 spliceosomal RNA". Rfam says of the family: U2 is a small nuclear RNA (snRNA) component of the spliceosome (involved in pre-mRNA splicing). Complementary binding between U2 snRNA (in an area lying towards the 5' end but 3' to hairpin I) and the branchpoint sequence (BPS) of the intron results the bulging out of an unpaired adenosine, on the BPS, which initiates a nucleophilic attack at the intronic 5' splice site, thus starting the first of two transesterification reactions that mediate splicing. NCBI's taxonomy places the organism in Eukaryota, Metazoa, Chordata, Mammalia, Primates, Hominidae. The record is from Ensembl.
AUCACUUCUUGGUCUUUUGGCUAAGAGCAACUGCAGUAUCUGUUCUUGUCAGUUUAAUAUGUGAUAUAUCCCUUUUCUGAGACAACAUAUUAAAUGGACUUUUGGAACUAAGAGAUGGACUAGAAAGUUGCCCCACCUGCUCCAUGCCUCCACACAUUGACUUGAUAUUGCAGUACUUCCAAAAAAAAAAAAAAAAGA